Non-coding RNA from Lactuca sativa (garden lettuce), 485 nucleotides. Lineage: Eukaryota; Viridiplantae; Streptophyta; Magnoliopsida; Asterales; Asteraceae. The record is from RefSeq and is a predicted model, not a curated record.
GUAAUUCAUAGGUCCUCUUGGGCCUCUUACCCUUCCUGGAGUAAACUAGGAGUGGUUGAUGCUUAUCACAAUCCACUGAUUACAAUUAGACAAAGCAUGGAAAUGAUAUAAAGGUGUACAAGUAGCUAUAACUCAAAUUGAGACAUCAGGGAAAGAGAAAUGCCGCAUGGUGUGGUCUUUGGUGUGAUGAAGUGUUAGAAACAUGCGGUGAAUAUAAAGAGGGUGCUGGUGUUUAAGGAACAUCUUCGUUCAGCUGUGAUGCUUGAACAAGCAUCUUAUUGCUGUUACCUUUUAGCCUAACCAAUAAUAUUAAGAAAUGGACGACAAGGGUAUUUCAAGAAAAACUUCAAUUUUUGAGAACACAUCAUAUGCCAAGUGCAAUUGUGUUGGUCAAUUUUUUAUGUAAGGUUCAUGACUAUGUGUGACAACUCGAAGUUCGUUCCAUUAUUUGUAACCCGUUUCGUUAAUACAUUCGUCGUUUUCAA